RNAcentral lists this ribosomal RNA (508 nucleotides) under uncultured bacterium. RNAcentral's name for it is "partial 16S ribosomal RNA". It matches the Rfam family "Bacterial small subunit ribosomal RNA", at positions 28 to 507 of the family's 1533-position model. The record is from RNAcentral.
GACGAACGCUGGCGGCGUGCCUAAUACAUGCAAGUCGAACGCUUCUUUCCUCCCGAGUGCUUGCACUCGAUUGGAAAGAGGAGUGGCGGACGGGUGAGUAACACGUCGGUAACCUACCCAUCAGAGGGGGAUAACACUUGGAAACAGGUGCUAAUACCGCAUAACAGUUUAUGCCGCAUGGCAUAAGAGUGAAAGGCGCUUUCGGGGGUCGCUGAUGGAUGGACCCGCGGUGCAUUAGCUAGUUGGUGAGGUAACGGCUCACCAAGGCGACGAUGCAUAGCCGACCUGAGAGGGUGAUCGGCCACACUGGGACUGAGACACGGCCCAGACUCCUACGGGAGGCAGCAGUAGGGAAUCUUCGGCAAUGGACGAAAGUCUGACCGAGCAACGCCGCGUGAGUGAAGAAGGUCUUCGGAUCGUAAAACUCUGUUGUUAGAGAAGAACAAGGACGUUAGUAACUGAACGUCCCCUGACGGUAUCUAACCAGAAAGCCACGGCUAACUACGUG